UCUAGUUUAUCUUAUCAGGAGUGA
RNAcentral lists this non-coding RNA (24 nucleotides) under Arabidopsis thaliana (thale cress). Lineage: Eukaryota; Viridiplantae; Streptophyta; Magnoliopsida; Brassicales; Brassicaceae. The record is from RNAcentral.